This 227-nucleotide ribosomal RNA is filed under the name uncultured Actinomycetales bacterium. Its description in RNAcentral is "partial 16S ribosomal RNA". It matches the Rfam family "Bacterial small subunit ribosomal RNA", at positions 105 to 334 of the family's 1533-position model. Lineage: Bacteria; Bacillati; Actinomycetota; Actinomycetes; Actinomycetales. The record is from RNAcentral.
GGUGAGUAACACGUGAGUAACCUGCCCUUGACUUUGGGAUAACUUCAGGAAACUGGGCUAAUACCGGAUAGGAGCUCCUGCUGCAUGGUGGGGGUUGGAAAGUUUCGGCGGUUGGGGAUGGACUCGCGGCUUAUCAGCUUGUUGGUGGGGUAGUGGCUUACCAAGGCUUUGACGGGUAGCCGGCCUGAGAGGGUGACCGGCCACAUUGGGACUGAGAUACGGCCCAG